AGCCCAGGGAUACCUGGCCCCAAGCACCGGCUACGGAGGGCAGGGUGCCUGCCAAGCAGAACAGAGAAACUCCAAGAAAGCCCAGGUUCUUGGCAUCUAUUCAGGAGCUCCGGUGUAAUCAGGGCUCCACGGGCCCCUUUUGAGUGUCUGCUCUCAAGCUGCAGGUAGCUGAAUCGGAGCCCAAAUCCUUGCAAAAACGCCGGUGGGACCCCUGCCAACAACCAAGCAAUGGCUUUUCAAGCUGGAAGGGAGCAAGUCCGACUCAAUCUUGGUUGCUGGUCUGAUGAUGUGAGCCCAAGGCUCACAACGAAGGCUGUCCGGUCCCUGCGUGCUUGGCCAGAGGGCCCAGGGAUGCUUGGAGUUAGCUGGGUCCUCUCUGGCUCCAGGCUCUGCUAACCUGACGGAAGCCGCAGCUCAUUGGAGCCUUUCUUACAGCGGAUUUCAGUGCCACUGAAGUGAGACACAGUCCCCAGCCUCAGUACAACUAUUUCAUCCGAGACAUUAUACGCAGAUCCUGCGAUGACGGGUCAGGGCUCCCAGAGGCCACCAUGUUUACAAAACUGAGGACUUACUGGGUGCUUCCUGUGAUGGACCCUUCGCUUGUUCACUCUGCAAGCCUUUUUUUUUUUUUUUUUUUUUUUUUUUUUUGUUUUUUAAGGGCUGCACUCAUGGCACGUGGAGGUUCCCAGGCUAGGGGUCCAAUUGGAGCUGUAGCUGCCAGCCUACAUCUCAGCCACAGCAACGUGGGAUCUGAGCCACGUCUGCGACCUACACCAACGCUGGAUCCUUAACCCACUGAGCGAGGCUAGGGAUCGAACCCACAACCUCAUGGUUCCUAGUCAGAUUCAUUUCCACUGCGCCACAAUGGGAACGCCCCAAGCCUGUUCUUCAUAGCAUCCUAAGUACUAUUCUUAACAGUUGAAAGAAAUACGGCCUCUCGGAAGAGAAGUACGAGAAGCUGGUGAGAUAAUUGAAUAUGACUCUUCCUUGAUUUCUCCUUGUAUAAACCAUCCUCACCCCAAAUGUUCUGAACUGGGAAGAGAAGAGUCAACCUUGUCUCAAGACCUGGAGGUGUGGCUUCGAUUUUACUUCUUAAAUGUAGGUAGAGGCUAAAACAUACAGAUUUUUUUUUGGAGCGGGGGUGAGGACUUUUUUUAUAUUUUAUUUUUAAGGAUUUUUUUUUUUUUAAGCACAGAGUUUGAGAGGCUUUUAGGACAGGAGAGGCUUUUAUUAUAAUUAAUUAUUUAUUUAUUUAGCUUUUUAGGGCCACACUUUGCGGCAUAUGGAGGUUCACGGCAUAUGGAGUUUCCCGGCUAGGGGUCGAAUUGGAGCUGUAGCUGCCACAGCCACGCCACAGCCACAGCAACGCGGGAUCCGAGCUGCGUCUGCGACCUACACAGCAGCUCAAGGCAACGCCGGAUCCUUAACCCACUGAGCAAGGCCAGGAUCGAACCCACAUCCUCAUGGAUCCUAGUCUGGUUCAUUAACCACUGAGCCACAAAGGGAACUCCCCAGGAGAGGCUUUUAGUCAAAUUCUGGCCACCACUUACUACCGGUGCCAACUUGUGAGCGGUAUUGAGCCACUCUUGACCUCGGUGUCUUUGCUCUAAAAUUGAUCAAAAAUAGAAGGUUAUGGAGUUCCUGUCGUUGCUCAGUGGAAAUGAAUCUGACAAGUAUCCACAAGGACGGAGGUUCAAUCCCGGCCUCGAUCCAUGAAUUAAGGAUUCAGCAUUGCAAUGAGCUGCAGUGUAGACCACGGACGCGGCUGGGAUCUGGCGUUGCUCUGGCUG
RNAcentral lists this long non-coding RNA (1790 nucleotides) under Sus scrofa (pig). RNAcentral describes it as "lncRNA (ENSSSCG00055024774.1)". Lineage: Eukaryota; Metazoa; Chordata; Mammalia; Artiodactyla; Suidae. The record is from RNAcentral.